GGGAAUGUAGCUCAGUGGUAGAGCAUUUGCCUAUCAUGCAACAAAGUCCUUGGUUCAAUCCCCGGUAUCAUUA
Heterocephalus glaber (naked mole-rat) is the source of this 73-nucleotide non-coding RNA. The record is from Rfam. NCBI's taxonomy places the organism in Eukaryota, Metazoa, Chordata, Mammalia, Rodentia, Bathyergidae.